UGGGGAAUAUUGGACAAUGGGGGCAACCCUGAUCCAGCAAUGCCGCGUGUGUGAAGAAGGUCUUCGGAUUGUAAAGCACUUUCGACGGGGACGAUGAUGACGGUACCCGUAGAAGAAGCCCCGGCUAACUUCGUGCCAGCAGCCGCGGUAAUACGAAGGGGGCUAGCGUUACUCGGAAUGACUGGGCGUAAAGGGCGUGUAGGCGGUUUACACAGUCAGAUGUGAAAUCCCCGGGCUUAACCUGGGAGCUGCAUUUGAUACGUGUAGACUAGAGUGUGAGAGAGGGUUGUGGAAUUCCCAGUGUAGAGGUGAAAUUCGUAGAUAUUGGGAAGAACACCGGUGGCGAAGGCGGCAACCUGGCUCAUGACUGACGCUGAGGCGCGAAAGCGUGGGGAGCAAACAGGAUUAGAUACCCUGGUAGUCCACGCUGUAAACGAUGUGUGCUAGAUGUUGGGUAACUUUGGUUAUUCAGUGUCGCAGUUAACGCGUUAAG
RNAcentral lists this ribosomal RNA (493 nucleotides) under uncultured bacterium. Its description in RNAcentral is "partial 16S ribosomal RNA". It matches the Rfam family "Bacterial small subunit ribosomal RNA", at positions 355 to 864 of the family's 1533-position model. The record is from RNAcentral.